GAUGAACGCUGGCGGCGUGCCUAAUACAUGCAAGUCGAGCGAACAGACGAGGAGCUUGCUCCUCUGACGUUAGCGGCGGACGGGUGAGUAACACGUGGAUAACCUACCUAUAAGACUGGGAUAACUUCGGGAAACUGGAGCUAAUACCGGAUAACAUGUUGAACCGCAUGGUUCAACAGUGAAAGACGGUUUUGCUGUCACUUAUAGAUGGAUCCGCGCCGCAUUAGCUAGUUGGUAAGGUAACGGCUUACCAAGGCAACGAUGCGUAGCCGACCUGAGAGGGUGAUCGGCCACACUGGAACUGAGACACGGUCCAGACUCCUACGGGAGGCAGCAGUAGGGAAUCUUCCGCAAUGGGCGAAAGCCUGACGGAGCAACGCCGCGUGAGUGAAGAAGGUCUUCGGAUCGUAAAACUCUGUUAUUAGGGAAGAACAAAUGUGUAAGUAACUAUGCACGUCUUGACGGUACCUAAUCAGAAAGCCACGGCUAACUACGUG
Molecule: ribosomal RNA, 497 nt
Filed under: uncultured bacterium
Lineage: Bacteria
Description: partial 16S ribosomal RNA
Rfam family: Bacterial small subunit ribosomal RNA
Source: RNAcentral